Molecule: ribosomal RNA, 406 nt
Filed under: uncultured Actinomycetes bacterium
Lineage: Bacteria; Bacillati; Actinomycetota; Actinomycetes
Description: bacterial SSU rRNA
Rfam family: Bacterial small subunit ribosomal RNA
Source: RNAcentral
GAGUUUGAUCCUGGCUCAGAACGAACGCUGGCGGCAGGCUUAACACAUGCAAGUCGAACGGUGAAGCCCUUCGGGGUGGAUCAGUGGCGAACGGGUGAGUAACACGUGGGCAAUCUGCCCUGCACUCUGGGACAAGCCCGGGAAACUGGGUCUAAUACCGGAUACGACCACGGAAUGCAUGUUCUGUGGUGGAAAGCUCCGGCGGUGCAGGAUGAGCCCGCGGCCUAUCAGCUUGUUGGUGGGGUAAUGGCCUACCAAGGCGACGACGGGUAGCCGGGCCUGAGAGGGCGACCGGGCCACACUGGGACUGAGGCACGGCCCAGACUCCUACGGGAGGCAGCAGUGGGGAAUAUUGCACAAUGGGCGAAAGCCUGAUGCAGCGACGCCGCGUGAGGGAUGACGGCCU